Molecule: transfer RNA, 74 nt
Filed under: Plutella xylostella (diamondback moth)
Lineage: Eukaryota; Metazoa; Arthropoda; Insecta; Lepidoptera; Plutellidae
Description: tRNA-Glu
Source: RNAcentral
GCGGUGGUAGCUCAGUCGGGUGAGUGCCCGCUUCUCACGCCAGAGAUGCGGGUUCGAAACCCGGCGCUCUGACA